Prunus mume (Japanese apricot) is the source of this 440-nucleotide non-coding RNA. The record is from RefSeq and is a predicted model, not a curated record. Lineage: Eukaryota; Viridiplantae; Streptophyta; Magnoliopsida; Rosales; Rosaceae.
GUAUGAAUCAUAGUUAAGCUGUCGUCCAAUUGCUUCAGAUUCAAUUGUCUGUCACCUCUCUGACUUAUUCACUAAAGCAAAAAAGCAAAGAUAAUUUUCAGGAUUCUCUUCCAACAAUCUAUCCAUUGCUAGGUAUGGGUAUACGCCCACAUUCACCUACCUUUACAUUAGUUUCUUUGUUUGCUAAUCAUACUUUUUUACCUAAUAAAGCAACAAGCAGCUCAAAGAAGAACAAUGAAAACAUUGAACCGAGAAAAUCAUUUUGCUUGCUCCUUUGUAUUUGAUUUUAUUAUAUAAACCAAAACAAUGAAGACUACAACCUCAACAUGCUCAAGGUUGAACUUUGCAAUAUAUGUAUUAUAUUUUGUAAAUAAUUAAUCAUUUGUAUUAAUAAUCGAUGUACCUUAUUUGAUUCAUAGAAGAAGUUCAUUUUCAACGUA